CAUUCACACAACAACCCGUCGGUUCCCCUCGAGGGGCCGGCCAGGUGUGUGGAUGGGUAGGGGAGCGUCGUGUGGCGGUGGAAGCGGCGGAGUGAUCCAGCCGUGGACGCCACGCGAGUGAGAAUGCAGGCAUGAGUAGCGAGAGGGGAGUGAGAACCUCCCCCGCCGGAAGACCAAGGGUUCCUGGGCCAGGCUAAUCCGCCCAGGGUGAGUCGGGACCUAAGGCGAGGCCGACAGGCGUAGUCGAUGGACAACGGGUUGAUAUUCCCGUACCCGCGAAGGAACGCCCAUGCUGAACCCAGCGAUGCUAACCGCCCGAACACCACCUACUGAUCCCUUCGGGGUGAGGGGGUGGUUCUAGCGCGGGACCCGGA
Molecule: ribosomal RNA, 374 nt
Filed under: Blastococcus sp. CCUG 61487
Lineage: Bacteria; Bacillati; Actinomycetota; Actinomycetes; Geodermatophilales; Geodermatophilaceae
Description: Bacterial large subunit ribosomal RNA
Rfam family: Bacterial large subunit ribosomal RNA
Source: Rfam by way of RNAcentral